AUUAAACGCAUUGGGACUUCAUCUGUUAUUGAUUAACAUUACGUGCUGUUAUAUUAAGGUUUGUCCAAGAAUUGAUUUGUUAGGUGUCAGGAUGAAGGUGGUAACCUGUGAGAUUGCCUGGCAUAAUAAGGAGCCGGUGUACAGUCUAGAUUUCCAGCAGAGCGGUCAGGGAAAGAUAGAGCGGCUUGCUACAGCUGGGGUGGACACCACAGUACGGAUGUGGCGUGUGGAUAAAGGGCCUGAUGGGAAGGCGGUCGUUGAGUUUUUGUCUAACUUGGCACGA
This is a long non-coding RNA of Sinocyclocheilus grahami, 283 nucleotides long. RefSeq lists it as uncharacterized. NCBI's taxonomy places the organism in Eukaryota, Metazoa, Chordata, Actinopteri, Cypriniformes, Cyprinidae. The record is from RefSeq and is a predicted model, not a curated record. The transcript has 3 exons.